This 404-nucleotide ribosomal RNA is filed under the name Actinomycetes bacterium. Its description in RNAcentral is "Actinobacteria bacterium partial 16S ribosomal RNA". It matches the Rfam family "Bacterial small subunit ribosomal RNA", at positions 355 to 776 of the family's 1533-position model. Lineage: Bacteria; Bacillati; Actinomycetota; Actinomycetes. The record is from RNAcentral.
UGGGGAAUAUUGGACAAUGGGCGCAAGCCUGAUCCAGCCAUGCCGCGUGAGUGAUGAAGGCCCUAGGGUUGUAAAGCUCUUUCACCGGUGAAGAUAAUGACGGUAACCGGAGAAGAAGCCCCGGCUAACUUCGUGCCAGCAGCCGCGGUAAUACGAAGGGGGCUAGCGUUGUUCGGAGUUACUGGGCGUAAAGCGCACGUAGGCGGCCUAUUAAGUCAGGGGUGAAAUCCCGGGGCUCAACCCCGGAACUGCCUUUGAUACUGGUAGUCUUGAGUUCGAGAGAGGUGAGUGGAAUUCCGAGUGUAGAGGUGAAAUUCGUAGAUAUUCGGAGGAACACCAGUGGCGAAGGCGGCUCACUGGCUCGAUACUGACGCUGAGGUGCGAAAGCGUGGGGAGCAAACAGG